Pieris napi is the source of this 623-nucleotide long non-coding RNA. RefSeq lists it as uncharacterized. Lineage: Eukaryota; Metazoa; Arthropoda; Insecta; Lepidoptera; Pieridae. The record is from RefSeq and is a predicted model, not a curated record. The transcript is spliced from 3 exons.
ACCGUGGUGUGUAUUUACGUAUUCGAACACGAAAAUUUAUCAGAGCAAUCAUGAUAAAUAUAUUCGAUAAGUUUUACACUCGUUACUUAGCAACUUUCAAGGGACCACUAUCACAAAACGAUAAUUUUAGUCAAUCCACGAUAUAUCGCCUAUUUCGUGUGAUGUAUUAAAUGAGUAUCUUGCGCACAAUUAUUCGUAAAUAUUCUAAAAUGGCCGACCCAGCGAGAGUUGUUAAGUUUUACGAUAUGCUUAAGUACAUUCAUGAGCCUACAAAAGUGAUCAUCGAUGUACGUAAUCCAGAUGAAUUUAAAGAAGGGAACAUUCCGACCAGUAAAAAUAUACCAGUGGGAGUUAUACGUGAAGCUCUUUCAAUGACAGAGGAAGUCUUCAAGAAAACUUACUUAAACGAGAAACCUUUAGAAUCAGCGGAGAUAAUAUUCUACUGUAAAUCAGGAAGGCGAGCGACAGUGGCUUUGGAGCAUGCAUUAGAACUUGGGUUUUCAAAGUCUAAAGUGUACAUUGGGAGCUAUGAUGACUGGUCCACCCAUUAAUUAAAACAAAGAUACAUAUAGGAUUUAGCUGUUAAGGUUUUAAGAAUUAAUAUAAAUAAAACAAUAUAUUUA